UCCGUUUUAACAACGGCAGUCUCCCUAGAGUCCCCACCCGAAGUGCUGGCAACUAGGGACAAGGGUUUCGCUCGUUCAGGGACUUAACCCGACAUCUCACGACACGAGCUGACGACAGCCAUGCAACACCUAUACUGGUUCCACCGCGAGGGCGUCACUCCCCUUUCAGGGAGCUAAUCCCAGCAUUUCGAACCCGGGUAAGGUUCUUCGCGUUGCUUCGAAUUAAGCAACAUGCUCCACCGCUUGUGUGAGCCCCCGUCAAUUCCUUUGAGUUUUAGCCUUGCGACCGUACUCCCCAGGCGGGGCACUUAACGCAUUUGUUACGGAAACGAGUGUCAUAAUAACACCCGCAACCUAGUGCCCAUCGUUUACAGCUAGGACUAC
This 384-nucleotide unclassified non-coding RNA is filed under the name uncultured Planctomycetota bacterium. RNAcentral describes it as "uncultured planctomycete contains 16S-23S intergenic spacer region". The record is from RNAcentral. Lineage: Bacteria; Pseudomonadati; Planctomycetota.